RNA transcript from Lotus japonicus, 3922 nucleotides. It is a transcript of the gene named probable splicing factor 3A subunit 1, with no coding region annotated. The record is from RefSeq and is a predicted model, not a curated record. Lineage: Eukaryota; Viridiplantae; Streptophyta; Magnoliopsida; Fabales; Fabaceae. The transcript is spliced from 5 exons.
CGAGCCCAUCCCUCUCACAUUGUCUGAUUUUUCUCGCUUCAGAUUAUUUCCAUUGUUCACUUCUCUUUUGUUCAUCUGUGAUUCGUCGUUCUUGUCUCACUGUCUCUUCUUCUUCGCAGAUUCGAUUCUCCAUCACCCAGUCUGCGGAACAAUCUGGGUUUUAGGGAUUUACAGUCACCAUGUUAGGUUCAUUGCCUAUACUGCCUCUCCCGGCUCCUCCGCUCGAUGGAAACCUCGGUCCGCUUCCCGAGUCUCAGGUGAUCGAGGAGAGACCCUCCGACGAGGAGCAGAGACCGGCUGCACCAGCAGCAACAGUUGCCACACACACUAGAACCAUUGGAAUAAUUCAUCCACCUCCGGACAUUAGAACCAUUGUUGAUAAAACCUCACAGUUUGUGGCUAAAAAUGGUCCGGAAUUCGAGAAGAGGAUUGUUGCGAAUAAUGCAGGGAAUGCCAAGUUUAAUUUCCUUCACUCGUCGGAUCCGUAUCAUGCUUAUUAUCAACAUCGCUUGGCUGAAUUUCGUGCUCAGAAUCAGUCUUCUACCCAGCAACCUGGUGACUUGGCUGGAGAUUCGGAUGUUCCUGAAUCAACCCCAUCAGCACCAGCCCCUGAUAGUAAUGGUGUAGUAGAAGCAGCAGGAGAAAAGCCUGAUAUUUCUGCCCAGUUUAGACCAGUAAGGAAAGUGCUUGACCCGCCUGAGGCUGAGCAAUACACGGUUAGGCUUCCUGAAGGAAUAACAGGGGAAGAGCUGGAUAUUAUAAAGCUUACAGCGCAGUUUGUGGCUCGAAAUGGGAAAUCUUUUUUGACGGGAUUGACUAGUAGGGAAGUUAAUAACCUUCCAUUCCAUUUCUUGAAGCCGACCCACAGCAUGUUUACAUUUUUUACUUCCCUUGCGGAUGCGUAUUCGAAGGUUUUGAUGCCUCCAAAGGGUUUGACAGAGAAGCUUAGGAAGAGUGUCCCUGACAUGACUACUGUCCUUGAAAGGUGUGUGAACAGGCUGGAAUGGGAGCGUUCGCAGGAGCAAGCUAGGCAAAAGGCUGAGGAUGAGAUCGAGCAGGAAAGGAUACAAAUGGCUAUGAUUGAUUGGCAUGAUUUUGUGGUGGUUGAAACAAUAGACUUUGCUGACGACGAGGAUGAAGAAUUACCUACUCCUAUGACCCUUGAGGAGGUGAUAAGGAGAAGCAAGGUGUCGUCAGCCAUGGAAGAAGAUAUUGUUGAGCCUGGAAAGGAAAUGGAAAUGGAUAUGGAUGAGGAAGAGGCCCAGUUAGUUGCAGAGGGCAUGAGAGCUGCUAGUUUGGAAGACAAGGAUGAUGGGAAGAAGAACGAAAUGAGGGUUACUGAAGACCCUGAACCACCAAUGAGGAUUGUGAGGAACUGGAAGAGACCAGAGGACAGAGUUCCUGCAGAAAGAGAUCCAACCAAGUUUGUUGUUUCUCCUAUCACUGGUGAGCUCAUUCCUAUUAGUGAAAUGUCAGAACAUAUACGAAUUUCUCUCAUUGAUCCUAAAUACAAAGAACAAAAAGAAAGGAUGUUUGCCAAAAUUCGAGAAACAACUCUGGCUCAGGAUGAUGAAAUCUCAAGAAACAUUGUUGGACUUGCAAGGACUCGUCCUGAUAUCUUUGGUACAACGGAGGAAGAGGUUUCCAAUGCUGUCAAGGCAGAAAUUGAGAAGAAAAAUGAUGAGCAACCUAAGCAGGUUAUAUGGGAUGGUCACACUGGAAGUAUUGGCCGUACUGCAAACCAAGCCAUGUCACAGAGUAUUGGAAGUGAGGAUCAAAAUGAUGCUUCUAACUAUGAAGGCAAGAACCUUCCUGGUCCUGCUGCACCCCCUCCAAGGCCCGGCAUGCCUUCAAUUCGUCCUCUUCCGCCACCACCUGGACUAGCAUUGAAUCUUCCUCGUGUUCCUCCCAAUGUCGUUCAGUAUCAGCACAGUGGCGGCCUUCCAAUGCCUCCUCCAAGACCACCAGCUAUGAUUCCAUCUGUCCGCCCAGCUCCCCCUCCUCCAAUGCAAAUGAAUUCUGGACAGCAGUCUGUUAUGGGUGGUCAACCACAUCCGAUGAUGCCUCCAUCAAUUUCUAUGAAUAGCCAAGGAAUGCACAUGCCUCCACCACCACCUGGAUCUCAGUUCACUCCUGUUCCACGGCCUCCUUUUGUUCCUAUGUCUCAUCCACCAUCAAUGAUGCCUAUGAUGCAUCCACCACCCUUGCCUCAAGGAAUGCCACCACCCCCACCGCCUGAGGAAGCUCUUCCCCCACUUCCAGAGGAACCAGAACCAAAGAGGCAAAAGCUUGAUGAUUCUUCUCUGAUUCCAGAAGAUCAAUUUCUGGCUCAGCAUCCGGGACCUGUUCGCAUCAGUAUAUCUGUUCCUAAUGUUGAUGAAGGAAAUCUCAAAGGACAAGUUCUGGAAAUAACCUUGCAAUCUCUGUCUGAAACUGUUGCCAGUCUGAAGGAAAAAAUUGCUGGGGAUAUCCAGCUCCCUGCUAACAAGCAGAAAUUGAGUGGAAAGCCAGGCUUUCUUAAGGAUAAUUUGUCACUUGCUCAUUACAAUGUCAGCGGAGGAGAAACACUUACCCUAUCCUUAAGAGAGCGUGGUGGUAGAAAGAGAUGAGCAUAGUACUUGCAUUGCCAUUCAUGAAGAUUUUGGCACCUUGGCGCAUGUCUCAUGAGGGGAUUGGGAAGUAGUGGAGUUUCUUUACCUAAUCUGAUCAAGUCAAACAUUCACAUCACUGAUUAUUGUUCUCUCUUGCUUAGUGACUUAUUUGUUUUUAAUUGAAUCUCCUUUGCUGUCAGGGAGGGAUCAAUCACUUUUUUGCUCAUUUUUCCCAUUCUUAAAAUUAUCAACGUGAGUGGUGAUUUAGUUUCUUUUUUCUAGUGUUUAGGUUUUGUCUUAUAUUGGAUAUGUUCUGACAAGAACACUGUCAGAUGGUUGGUUAGGAGGUCGUUUAACUGGUGCAUCUUGUUUGGGGUUUUGGUCAUGAGAGAAAUUCUACUUGGACUCGUGGGAAGGCCGGGCAGCUUAACUUGAUGUUUUUUUUGAAUUGGAUGAGGCAGGUAGAAUGGUCUACAAUAUUUUCUGCUAUUAUAAACUUAUGAUCCCUACAUCUAGAUCUGUUACUUUUUAUUCUUCAAGUUCUGUUCUGAUGGCAGUUUGUGCCUGCCAAUAUGUUGCAGAAUGGAGCAGGUAUGAUAUUUUAAAGAACGCACUGAUUCACAUGUUCAUCUUUCUUGGGACAUCUUAUUAAUCUCAGUUUAAGAUCUCUUGUCAUUGAUCUUGAUCAAGAUUAUUUAUCUUUGUUAAAUCUCAAUCUUCUUCAUUUGAUUUGAUUUCUUAGUUGAUAUUUGAUCUGUCUUUCCUUUUGAUUCAUUUGGUUGAACCUUACUUUGGAUUUCUUAAUAGAUCAGCAUGACAGAUUCAUUAGAGUCAUUUGACCCUCCACAGCUUCACUAGUAUUAUGUUCGUUUUAUUCACUAGGUUACUUAUUGUGAAAAUAGGGGACGACUACAUCGAUUGAUGAUGGUAUUGGUGUUAUCAUGGUGGUUCUUACACUCACUUAUGUGAUACCCUUUUCGAUUUCUCUACCGGGUGUUAUAGUAGCUGGGAUUUUAAGCUAUGAAACAAGUCAUUUUGGAAUUUAGCAUAUGGUAAGGAGAUAGGUAGUUUGGAUGAAGUUUGCUCAAAUUUCUGUGUCGUAGUUUUACCCGAGAAAACAAUGAAAUGCUUGUGUUUGGUUAUUUUAGAGUGUUGUAAGCCAAAGUCAAUUUCAUGGCUGUCUUAUGGAAUGGAAAUCAUAACAUGGCUAUUGUUGAUGAUAAUAGGAGAUCCAUUUUAGAUUAAUUGACGGGAAUAUUAAGCUAUUUAUGGAGGUCUGUUUGUUGAAUAAGUGUAUUUUUUAUUUUACAUAUUAUACAUGUUUGUGUCUA